GAACCUCUAAUGUGUGUGACCCCGCAGGUUCGAACCUAAGCCGGUAGCACAAGAACCAAUUCCUGUACUAAUCGAAGUGAUCAUCUAGCAAUGGUACCCGAUGUUCGGAUAGGUCGAAGAGUCGCAAUCGCAAUACUCAGAACCUACAUGAAUAUGGUUACUGUAUAAUUCAUCCUUUUGACCCCUGUGUUUAGGAUGACUCAAGGUUAAACUGUCAACCCUGAUCAGAUCAUCCGAAUCGUGUUCAACUCAAACAGUCCUGUGACUCCUCACAAGGACUACCCUGGCCAAGAUUUUGCUAAAUUGAAACACGACUGUACACAGCUCCUAAACUGGAGUGGUCAAUCCCAUCUUGACACACGCACCGAUAAGUCAAGUACUUGACUACACCCAGCAGCCUUCCGUCACUGAAUUAGAAAU
This 420-nucleotide long non-coding RNA is filed under the name Elaeis guineensis (African oil palm). RNAcentral describes it as "long non-coding RNA (EGUI_LNC076467)". The record is from RNAcentral. Lineage: Eukaryota; Viridiplantae; Streptophyta; Magnoliopsida; Arecales; Arecaceae.